CAGCAGUCGCCGGCGGUAAUACAGAGGGUGCGAGCGUUAAUCGGAUUUACUGGGCGUAAAGCGUGCGUAGGCGGCUUCUUAAGUCGGAUGUGAAAUCCCUGAGCUUAACUUAGGAAUUGCAUUCGAUACUGGGAAGCUAGAGUAUGGGAGAGGAUGGUAGAAUUCCAGGUGUAGCGGUGAAAUGCGUAGAGAUCUGGAGGAAUACCGAUGGCGAAGGCAGCCAUCUGGCCUAAUACUGACGCUGAGGUACGAAAGCAUGGGGAGCAAACAGGAUUAGAUACCCGGGUAGUCCCUGUCUCUUAUA
This 304-nucleotide ribosomal RNA is filed under the name uncultured bacterium. RNAcentral describes it as "partial 16S ribosomal RNA". It matches the Rfam family "Bacterial small subunit ribosomal RNA", at positions 509 to 808 of the family's 1533-position model. The record is from RNAcentral.